This 475-nucleotide ribosomal RNA is filed under the name uncultured bacterium. Its description in RNAcentral is "bacterial SSU rRNA". It matches the Rfam family "Bacterial small subunit ribosomal RNA", at positions 28 to 517 of the family's 1533-position model. The record is from RNAcentral.
GACGAACGCUGGCGGCACGCCUAACACAUGCAAGUCGAGCGGAGAUUGAGAGCUUGCUCUCAUGAUCAGCGGCGGACGGGUGAGUAACACGUGAGCAACCUGCCUUUCAGAGGGGGACAACAGUUGGAAACGACUGCUAAUACCGCAUAACAUUGCCGAACGGCAUCGUUUGGCAAUCAAAGGAGCAAUCCGCUGAAAGAUGGGCUCGCGUCUGAUUAGAUAGUUGGUGAGGUAACGGCUCACCAAGUCGACGAUCAGUAGCCGGACUGAGAGGUUGAUCGGCCACAUUGGGACUGAGACACGGCCCAGACUCUUACGGGAGGCAGCAGUGGGGGAUAUUGGACAAUGGGGGAAACCCUGAUCCAGCGAUGCCGCGUGAGGGAAGAAGGUUUUCGGAUUGUAAACCUCUGUGGACAGGGACGAUAAGUGACGGUACCUGUUUAGAAAGCCACGGCUAACUACGUGCCAGCAGCCG